This 497-nucleotide ribosomal RNA is filed under the name uncultured bacterium. Its description in RNAcentral is "partial 16S ribosomal RNA". It matches the Rfam family "Bacterial small subunit ribosomal RNA", at positions 28 to 507 of the family's 1533-position model. The record is from RNAcentral.
GAUGAACGCUGGCGGCGUGCCUAAUACAUGCAAGUCGAGCGAACAGACGAGGAGCUUGCUCCUCUGACGUUAGCGGCGGACGGGUGAGUAACGCGUGGAUAACCUACCUAUAAGACUGGGAUAACUUCGGGAAACCGGAGCUAAUACCGGAUAAUAUAUUGAACCGCAUGGUUCAAUAGUGAAAGACGGUUUUGCUGUCACUUAUAGAUGGAUCCGCGCCGCAUUAGCUAGUUGGUAAGGUAACGGCUUACCAAGGCGACGAUGCGUAGCCGACCUGAGAGGGUGAUCGGCCACACUGGAACUGAGACACGGUCCAGACUCCUACGGGAGGCAGCAGUAGGGAAUCUUCCGCAAUGGGCGAAAGCCUGACGGAGCAACGCCGCGUGAGUGAUGAAGGUCUUCGGAUCGUAAAACUCUGUUAUUAGGGAAGAACAAAUGUGUAAGUAACUAUGCACGUCCUGACGGUACCUAAUCAGAAAGCCACGGCUAACUACGUG